AAAGAAACCAACAGGGAUUGCCUCAGUAACGGCGAGUGAAGCGGCAAGAGCUCAAAUUUGAAAGCUGGCUCCUUCGGGGUCCGCAUUGUAAUUUGCAGAGGAUGCUUCGGGAGCGGUCCCCAUCUAAGUGCUCUGGAACGGGCCGUCAUAGAGGGUGAGAAUCCCGUAUGGGAUGGGGUGUCCGCGCCCGUGUGAAGCUCCUUCAACGAGUCGAGUUGUUUGGGAAUGCAGCUCUAAAUGGGUGGUAAAUUUCAUCUAAAGCUAAAUAUUGACCGGAGACCGAUAGCGCACAAGUAGAGUGAUCGAAAGAUGAAAAGCACUUUGAAAAGAGAGUUAAAAAGCACGUGAAAUUGUUGAAAGGGAAGCGUUUGCGAUCAGACUCGCCUUCACGGUUCAGCCGGCAUUCGUGCCGGUGUACUUCCGUGGGGGCGGGCCAGCGUCGGUUUGGGCGGUUGGUAAAAGGCCCUUGGAAUGUAACGCCUCUCGGGGCGUCUUAUAGCCAAGGGUGCCAUGCAACCAGCCCGGACCGAGGAACGCGCUUCGGCUCGGACGCUGGCAUAAUGGUCGUAAACGAC
This 575-nucleotide ribosomal RNA is filed under the name Penicillium longisporum. RNAcentral's name for it is "eukaryotic LSU rRNA". It matches the Rfam family "Eukaryotic large subunit ribosomal RNA", at positions 58 to 648 of the family's 3401-position model. Lineage: Eukaryota; Fungi; Ascomycota; Eurotiomycetes; Eurotiales; Aspergillaceae. The record is from RNAcentral.